UUCCCCCGUUAAUGCCCCGCGCCCCCGCUCCCCCCUUUCACCAGGUGGUAAAAAGCACCGGUGGAAGGAAGGAAGGAUGGAACGUCGAACCAGGCAUGGAAUCAUCAUCGUCAGGUUCUAUAUUGUUAUCGUCUUCGCCGUCAGGUGUGUGUGAAGCCAGCCAGCCCCUCUCUCCCUCUAAUUUGCUUCGUUUUUGGAAAGGACACCAUAAUCUUCUUUGGUUGCUUCAACCAGCUGGAAAUGCAACCAUAGAAAUCAUCAAGGGAGGGAAAUGCAACCCAUCCCCGCUCCAAACUCUGAUAUAUUUCCAAUAGCACUCUGUUUCAAUUGGCUACUUUACUUUACUAACAUGUUAUGGAUGGAUGAAUAUGACCUCUCAACGAGGAAGGAAGCUUCAUGAAUACCAUUUACAACUUUGUGCCCUCACUCCCCCCAGAAGGAACAACAAGGGGCUUAUUCCUUCUGAACUUGUGGUCACAGAAAGCUAAUGGCAUCUAUACUAUCUAUAAGCAGGAAAGAGAUCUAUGCUUCUUGUGAGGGAGAAUAUUGGCUUCAAGAAUGCAUCCAGGUAGCUAUGCUUCGUACUAAGUAUAUCAUGGUGUACUGAGUUGAUGAUUUUAAAUAAACAUGAUCUACAUGAUUUGGAUCUAUGGUAUUUGGCCAAUAUUCUUUAAGCCAAAUUACCUAACAUGUAAGAAAACCAUGAUCUACAUAUUAAAUAAAUUUAAUAAUCAACAACGAUAUUACCAUGAUCUAAAAUGAAAUGUACAUAAGCAUUGAUAUCUAUCUAUUGUAAAUAUCUAUUGUAAAACGUACUUUAUAGAUAUCUUUUUCUAUGAAAACGUACAAUCCUCUAACAUAAUAAACCUACUUACGCUAACAAACUUAAUUGUGUAUAGUACUUUAUAGAUAUGCUUCUUCCGCAUUUGGAAGAAGCAUGGUACUGAUUUUUAAUUGAGUUGUAUGUUGAUCAUGGUUCUGAUUUCUUAUUUUAGUGUUAUAGUGUUCUAAUUUAUUACUAUAAUUUUUCACUUUCACAUUUGUUGUUGUUAUAGUGCCUUCUUUUCACAUUCGACGAUGA
Molecule: long non-coding RNA, 1081 nt
Organism: Musa acuminata AAA Group (dessert banana)
Lineage: Eukaryota; Viridiplantae; Streptophyta; Magnoliopsida; Zingiberales; Musaceae
Exons: 3
Source: RefSeq, a predicted model, not a curated record